AUCAUUAAUGUAAUUGAUGUUCGACGAGGUUGUUGCUGGCCGAUUGUGCAUGUGCACGCCUUGCCGUCUUGUCCAUUCGUCACACCUGUGCACCAUUGUAGCUGGGGGGGAUGAUCACGGGAUCGUUGCAGAUCCCGAAUGCCCCUCGCUAUGAACGUUGUUAUAACGCCCUCGGUAAAAAGUAGAUUUGGAAUGUUAUUGGAAAAUGAAAUACAACUUUCAGCAACGGAUCUCUUGGCUCUCGCAUCGAUGAAGAACGCAGCGAAAUGCGAUAAGUAAUGUGAAUUGCAGAAUUCAGUGAAUCAUCGAAUCUUUGAACGCACCUUGCGCUCCUUGGUAUUCCGAGGAGCAUGCCUGUUUGAGUGUCAUAAAAUUCUCAACUGCUUUGGCUUGGUUUCAAAGUGAAGUUGGACUUGGAGUGCUUGCUGGGCUGUGUCCGGCUCCUCCCAAUAGCAUUAUUUAUAUAUCCAUCUCGGUAUAUAUCUCGGCAAGAAGUAUCUUCGACGUGAUAACAUUUUAUGUUGUAGAGAAAGCCUUGAUAGUGGAGAGAGGCCUUCCCUCUUUCCUUGCCACGAUGUCUUAUCGACCUCAAAUCAGGCAGGAUCACCCGCUGAACUUAAGCAUAUCAU
Molecule: small RNA, 629 nt
Filed under: uncultured fungus
Lineage: Eukaryota; Fungi
Description: eukaryotic LSU rRNA
Rfam family: 5.8S ribosomal RNA (bases 215-368)
Source: RNAcentral